This 460-nucleotide ribosomal RNA is filed under the name uncultured bacterium. RNAcentral describes it as "partial 16S ribosomal RNA". It matches the Rfam family "Bacterial small subunit ribosomal RNA", at positions 338 to 795 of the family's 1533-position model. The record is from RNAcentral.
CCUACGGGAGGCAGCAGUGAGGAAUAUUGGUCAAUGGGCGAGAGCCUGAACGAGCCAAGUCGCGUGAGUGAAGACGGUCCUACGGAUUGUAAACCCCUUUUGUAAAGGAGUAAAGAGGGCCACGAGUGGUGUGGCGAUUGUACGUGAUGAACAAGCAUCGGCUAACUCCGUGCCAGCAGCCGCGGUAAUACGGAGGAUGCGAGCGUUAUGCGGAUUUAUUGGGUUUAAAGGGAGCGCAGGAGGAGGCGUAAAGUCAGGGGUAAAAUUGUGGGGUCAACCUUCAAAGUGCCGUUGAUACUGGGAGUCUAGAGUGCGGUUGAGGUAUGCGGAAUUCGUGGUGUAGCGGUGAAAUGCUUAGAUAUCACGCAGAACUCCGAUUGCGAAGGCAGCAUACUGGAGUCUAACUGACGCUGAUGCUCGAAAGCGUGGGUAUCGAACAGGAUUAGAUACCCUAGUAGUC